Molecule: ribosomal RNA, 315 nt
Filed under: Triticum aestivum (bread wheat)
Lineage: Eukaryota; Viridiplantae; Streptophyta; Magnoliopsida; Poales; Poaceae
Description: partial small subunit ribosomal RNA
Source: RNAcentral
AUGGCCGUGAGGAUCUCACCUGAGAAGGAGUUGCUGGACAGGUCCAGGACUUGCAGAUUAGAAUGUUGGGAUAACUCGGGUGGAACAACACCACUGAAAUUGUUGGAUGGGAGGCUCAGAACUGUUAGAAGGGGAACACUUGUUCCAACCCAAGAGGGGAUAUCACCGAAGAACUUGUUGUUCCCAAGAUCUAGGAUGACGAGAUCUCUGCAGGUUUCAAUUACGGAUGGAAAAACUCCCAAGAAAGUUAUUGUUAGCAAGACGAAGCGACUGGAGUUUAAGACCCAAGCUUGUUGGUAUGGGAAGUUCACCUGA